GGAAGAGUAACCCGUAAUUGGUAGCGGUACGGUCCUGAAAACCGUGGCCUCACGGCCCUGGGGGUUCAAGUCCCUUUUCUUCCG
RNAcentral lists this transfer RNA (84 nucleotides) under Candidatus Omnitrophota bacterium. RNAcentral describes it as "tRNA-Ser". It matches the Rfam family "tRNA". From Rfam's summary of the family: Transfer RNA (tRNA) molecules are approximately 80 nucleotides in length. The record is from RNAcentral. Lineage: Bacteria; Pseudomonadati; Candidatus Omnitrophota.